UACGUAGGGUGCGAGCGUUGUCCGGAAUUAUUGGGCGUAAAGAGCUCGUAGGCGGUGUGUCACGUCGGCCGUGAAAACCUGGGGCUCAACUCUGGGCGUGCGGUCGAUACGGGCAUCACUAGAGUUCGGUAGGGGAGACUGGAAUUCCUGGUGUAGCGGUGAAAUGCGCAGAUAUCAGGAGGAACACCGGUGGCGAAGGCGGGUCUCUGGGCCGAUACUGACGCUGAGGAGCGAAAGCAUGGGUAGCGAACAGG
RNAcentral lists this ribosomal RNA (254 nucleotides) under uncultured bacterium. RNAcentral describes it as "partial 16S ribosomal RNA". It matches the Rfam family "Bacterial small subunit ribosomal RNA", at positions 524 to 776 of the family's 1533-position model. The record is from RNAcentral.